UUUCGAAUCAUUCACAAUGGGCGCAAGCCUGAUGGUGCGACGCCGCGUGAGGGAUGAAGGUCUUCGGAUUGUAAACCUCUGUCACUGGGGAGAAAACGCUUUGAGUUAAUAGUUCAAAGCCUGAUUUAACCCGGAGAGGAAGCAGUGGCUAACUCUGUGCCAGCAGCCGCGGUAAUACAGAGACUGCAAGCGUUAUUCGGAUUCACUGGGCGUAAAGGGUGCGCAGGCGGCCGUGUGUGUAAGGUGUGAAAUCCCGGGGCUCAACCCCGGCACUGCGCCUUAAACUACAUGGCUAGAGUAUUGGAGAGGGUAGUGGAAUUCACGGUGUAGCAGUGAAAUGCGUAGAUAUCGUGAGGAACACCAGAGGCGAAGGCGACUACCUGGACAAUUACUGACGCUCAGGCACGAAAGCGUGGGGAGCAAAAGGG
RNAcentral lists this ribosomal RNA (428 nucleotides) under bacterium. RNAcentral describes it as "partial 16S ribosomal RNA". It matches the Rfam family "Bacterial small subunit ribosomal RNA", at positions 355 to 776 of the family's 1533-position model. The record is from RNAcentral.